CAGAGUUGCAAAACUCCCAAACCCACUGUGAACUUACCUGUCCUUGUUCCUUCGGCAGGCGGCCCCCGGGGGGGCUUCGCCGAAAGGCGUCUGCCGAGGGACAACUAAAACUCUUGCUACCUAAGUGUCUUCUGAGCAACAAUAAAAAAAUCA
Molecule: unclassified non-coding RNA, 153 nt
Filed under: uncultured Sordariomycetes
Lineage: Eukaryota; Fungi; Ascomycota; Sordariomycetes
Description: sequence contains ITS1
Source: RNAcentral